Molecule: small nucleolar RNA, 72 nt
Organism: Polyodon spathula (Mississippi paddlefish)
Lineage: Eukaryota; Metazoa; Chordata; Actinopteri; Acipenseriformes; Polyodontidae
Source: RefSeq, a predicted model, not a curated record
UGUACAUGAUGAUAACUUUUAUGCUGUUUCCGAUUCAAAAUGUGGAUACAACCUUGGAGAACUGAACACUCA